This is a non-coding RNA of Pelobates cultripes (western spadefoot toad), 233 nucleotides long. The record is from the annotation of a GenBank genome assembly. NCBI's taxonomy places the organism in Eukaryota, Metazoa, Chordata, Amphibia, Anura, Pelobatidae.
CAGAAGCAAAAAACAAGCAGUCUGCUGACAUCAUCAGAAGUGGUGGCCUGAUCCAAUCACAAUGCUUCUCCAUAGGACUGGCUGAGACUGACAAGGAGGCAGAUCAGGAGCAGAGCCAGCAUGAUUCAAACACAGCCCUGGCCAAUCAGCAUCUCCUCAUAGAGAUGAAUUGAAUCAAUGAAUCUCUAUGAGGAAAGUUCAGUGUCUGCAUGCAGAGGGAGGAGACACUGAAU